GUCUUUGUAGUAUAUAAACUAAUACCUUGGUCUUGUAAACCAACAAUGGGAGUAAUUCUCCCCAAAGAUA
This 70-nucleotide transfer RNA is filed under the name Hylomys suillus (short-tailed gymnure). RNAcentral describes it as "tRNA-Thr". Lineage: Eukaryota; Metazoa; Chordata; Mammalia; Eulipotyphla; Erinaceidae. RNAcentral also lists the same sequence under 1 other name. The record is from RNAcentral.